Molecule: ribosomal RNA, 254 nt
Filed under: uncultured bacterium
Lineage: Bacteria
Description: partial 16S ribosomal RNA
Rfam family: Bacterial small subunit ribosomal RNA
Source: RNAcentral
UACGUAGGGUGCGAGCGUUGUCCGGAAUUAUUGGGCGUAAAGAGCUCGUAGGCGGUGUGUCACGUCGGCCGUGAAAACCUGCAGCUUAACUGUGGGCAUGCGGUCGAUACGGGCAUCACUGGAGUUCGGCAGGGGAGACUGGAAUUCCUGGUGUAGCGGUGAAAUGCGCAGAUAUCAGGAGGAACACCGGUGGCGAAGGCGGGUCUCUGGGCCGAUACUGACGCUGAGGAGCGAAAGCGUGGGGAGCAAACAGG